RNAcentral lists this ribosomal RNA (441 nucleotides) under uncultured bacterium. Its description in RNAcentral is "partial 16S ribosomal RNA". It matches the Rfam family "Bacterial small subunit ribosomal RNA", at positions 338 to 795 of the family's 1533-position model. The record is from RNAcentral.
CCUACGGGAGGCAGCAGUGGGGAAUAUUGCACAAUGGGCGAAAGCCUGAUGCAGCAACGCCGCGUGAAGGAAGAAGGCCUUCGGGUCGUAAACUUCUGUCCGUGGGGAAGAAGAACGGACGGGACCCAAGGAGGAAGCCCCGGCUAACUCCGUGCCAGCAGCCGCGGUAAUACGGAGGGGGCAAGCGUUAUCCGGAAGUAUUGGGCGGAAAGAGUACGUAGGUGGCCACCUAAGCGCAGGGUUUAAGGCAAUGGCUCAACCAUUGUUCGCCCUGCGAACUGGGAUGCUUGAGUGCAGGAGAGGCAAGCGGCAUUCCUCGUGUAGCGGUGCCAUGCGUCGAUAUUAGGAGGAACCCCAGUGGCGACGGCGGCUUUCUGGACUGUACCUGACACUGAGGUACGACCGCGUGGGGAGCACACAGGAUUAGAUACCCUUGUAGUC